This 233-nucleotide long non-coding RNA is filed under the name Eutrema salsugineum. RNAcentral describes it as "long non-coding RNA (ESAL_LNC001048)". Lineage: Eukaryota; Viridiplantae; Streptophyta; Magnoliopsida; Brassicales; Brassicaceae. The record is from RNAcentral.
GAGUAAUUUUCUUGAUCUAAAACACAUCAAACAAGUUGCAAUUAAACUACUUUUAAAUGUGAUUCUCACUCUCUUUUAUUCCUCCUAUCCUUUUUUUUCUUUCCUUCUUCCCCAUCACCAUUCCUGCAUUUUUCUCUCUCUUGUGUUAGCUUUGCUUGAAUAUGGCUACAGAAAAUCCAAAGCCGGUAGAACCUCCAGUAGACAAACGCGAAUUCAUAAUACGCUUCCAAGAA